This 896-nucleotide ribosomal RNA is filed under the name uncultured delta proteobacterium. Its description in RNAcentral is "bacterial SSU rRNA". It matches the Rfam family "Bacterial small subunit ribosomal RNA", at positions 28 to 897 of the family's 1533-position model. Lineage: Bacteria; Deltaproteobacteria. The record is from RNAcentral.
AAUGAACGCUGGCGGCGUGCCUAACACAUGCAAGUCGGACGAGAAAGCUUGAUUUCGGUCGAGCGAGUAAAGUGGCGCACGGGUGAGUAGCGCGUAGGCAACCUGCCCUCGAGACUGGGAUAACAGGGCGAAAGCCCUGCUAAUACCGGGUACGCCCCACGGGAUGGGUCCUGUGGGGGAGAGGGGGGCCUCUCGAGGAAGCCCCUGCUCGGGGAUGGGCCUGCGUCCUAUCAGCUAGUUGGUAGGGUAACGGCCUACCAAGGCGACGACGGGUAGCUGGUCUGAGAGGAUGAUCAGCCACACUGGCACUGGAACACGGGCCAGACUCCUACGGGAGGCAGCAGUGAGGAAUUUUGCGCAAUGGGGGAAACCCUGACGCAGCAACGCCGCGUGGGUGAUGAAGGCCUUCGGGUCGUAAAGCCCUGUCGGGUGGGAAGAAUCGAUCGGGGUCGAAUGGACUGCGGUCAUGACGGUACCACCAGAGGAAGCACCGGCUAACUCCGUGCCAGCAGCCGCGGUAAUACGGAGGGUGCGAGCGUUAUUCGGAAUUACUGGGCGUAAAGCGCGUGUAGGCGGAGGGGUAAGUCUGAUGUGAAAGCCCCGGGCUCAACCUGGGAAGUGCAUUGGAAACUGCUCUUCUUGAGUGCUGGAGAGGAAGGGGGAAUUCCCGGUGUAGAGGUGAAAUUCGUAGAGAUCGGGAGGAAUAUCAGUGGCGAAGGCGCCCUUCUGGACGGUUACUGACGCUGAGACGCGAAAGCGUGGGGAGCAAACAGGAUUAGAUACCCUGGUAGUCCACGCUGUAAACGAUGAGCACUAGGUGUAGCGGGUACUCAUUCCUGCUGUGCCGCAGCUAACGCGUUAAGUGCUCCGCCUGGGGAUUACGGUCGCAAGACUAA